Amphibalanus amphitrite is the source of this 1468-nucleotide long non-coding RNA. RefSeq lists it as uncharacterized. The record is from RefSeq and is a predicted model, not a curated record. NCBI's taxonomy places the organism in Eukaryota, Metazoa, Arthropoda, Thecostraca, Balanomorpha, Balanidae. The transcript has 2 exons.
UAACCCACCGACCCUUAUUCCCGUCGCCCCCAGAGCUGGCCGCCCUGGAGCUGCCUCCGGUGCCGUGUCACGUGAUACGCCCUGACCGGUCACGGGAGGUCAGUUAUAUCCGGUCACCGUGGUCGGCGGUGGGGCCGGCGACGAGCGUGGACGGAGGGGGCAGCUCCACCCUGCCCCGAGUCCGACCCCGGCACAGGCACCAGUGCCAGGCGGCCGAGGUACCGGUCGGGUUCGGCGUCCUCACGCUCCCACGGGCGGCCACCUCCGCCGCCCUGGACGGCUCGGAACGGCCGUGUCGGGCGGCAGCCGCCCCCGCCCCCGCCGCAGCGGUCUGCCACUACACCCAGCUGCCGCCGCCGCCGCCGCCGCCCGCCGCCAGGCCGCUCGGCAGCCCGCCGUGGACGCGGCCGCCGGGCGGGGGCGGGGGCGGCGGCGGUCGGCACGGGUCGGUGGGAUCUCGGCACGAGGCGCCACCAGAGAGCUCCGUAUAACGGCCGGCGCGGACUGAGUGAGAGGAACUUGUGGGGACGCCAUCCUCGAAUGGGUGUAAGGUGUAAGCGUCACCGGCAUACGGGAUCCGUCUGGUCGAUGCCGUUGGACGUAAUGGUCCCCGGCGUGUGCCAUAUUGUUGUUUUGUUGUGUGUGAGAUGAUAUGUCACAUCAGAGCGUUGUAUAACUGUUACCUGUGUGUUGGUGUCUGACUGUUAUCGGAGCGUUUAUGACGAGUGACUGGUUGAUGUGAACCUCAGGUUUUCCGAGCCCGGAAAGCGAUAGCUUUAUUACGACGAUGUGUUACUCCGUAGAGCUUGAGAUUUUAACGUGACCGUAAUCUGCGUUAUGCCAUGGUGCCAUUGCCAAAGAGUCUGCUUUCAAGGAACGUCUUAUCUUGUUGAUGCGGCAAUCUUUUCUAAGGCGUCGAGCUGCUGCAGUCAGUAGCGCCAUCUGGCACCAUCAUACUACGCCUCUGGUGGAGAUUUGGUGAACUCUGCUCAAACUAGCUCUGCGAACCAGGAACAAUAGUGUACUGAGCCUGAUGAACAGCUUUAUUAUUGUUGUUUUAUUGUAUUUUUGUCUUACUUGAUAGCGUUAUCAUAUAACGUGCUCAUUUGCGCAAAACUUCAAUCAUCCCUCGGUUCAUGCUGGGCAUGUAACCAAGACAUGCCAAUGGGUUGUGACCAGUUUUGCUCAGAAAGGGGCCGAAAGAAAAAACCCUUCUCAAUCUAGCAUUUUGUCUCUUCAAUUUCCAAGAUUUGCAUGAUCGAUCUCAUGUUCUUCGUUUACAAAUAGGGAUUGCUUAGUUUGGUGAGUUGUAUUAGUUCGGAAUAUAUAAUUAUUAAGUCGUUAGCUGCGCAUUCUGAAAUGACAUGUGAUUCCACGUCAUGUCUGUACGUUUUCUAAGACACGUCAGCUGUGGUACGUGAAGCCGUAAUAAAAUAAAUCGGUACGCAAGGCGCGCUCCUCGUUCUCA